Podarcis lilfordi (Lilford's wall lizard) is the source of this 1910-nucleotide non-coding RNA. NCBI's taxonomy places the organism in Eukaryota, Metazoa, Chordata, Lepidosauria, Squamata, Lacertidae. The record is from the annotation of a GenBank genome assembly.
CUGAGCCGUGUGGAGGGAGUUGUAAACAAACCGAAGUCGGAAACGAGUUCCGUCUUAAAGGGACAACGCCAGCUCUCCCGUUAGAUCAAAUGAUGUAAUAGGAGGCCUGGGAAGGCUGUGUGGACUAGUGGUUAAAGACUUGGCAGCCUGGGCUCUUCUUCAUCAUGUUGUUGUUGUUGCUGCUGCUGCUUCCUCUGUAGAAGAUCUAUGUGAGUUGCAGCAGAUUAAAGUAGAGGGUAUUUAUUAGCCAGAUCCUCCUGUUUCUGACAGCUGAGAUGCAAGGGAAGAUGGGGAGGGGUUAAUCCAGGAAGGUUCAGACCUUCAAGCCUUAUUGCAUGGCGUGGAAGCACGCCCCUAAUGUCCCAGAUGUUUAGGAGCAUGGGAAAGUCGGGAUGGUGGUGGAAGAGGCAGCUGCACUCUGCACAUGGUCAGAGGCCCCUUCACCUUCCGCGUUGCUUUAUGCAUUUCUAAAUCCUGCGGGCCUUCGGAUUUAAACAACAGUGGCAGCAUUUGCAACUGAGCUAAACCUUGGAAACCUGGCUCCGCCCAGCCCUUGCUUCCACACAAGGCACGAUUGUGGUAGCAGAGUACCUGCUUUGCAUGCAAAAAGGCCUGGGGUUGUUUUGUUUUUUUACAAUCGUAGGCAUUUUUCAGGUAGGGCUACGAAAGGCUGGAACCCUGGAGUGCUGCUGCCAGCUCGAGUAGACAUCACUAAGGUAGAUGGACCCAUGGCCUGACUCAGAAUAAAACAGCUUCCUGUGAGAUCUGGACUGAGGGUUCUUCAAGAAAGGGUGUUAUGGGUAGAGGCCUUCCUUUAUGCACCUCGGCUGCUCAGGCAAAAAUGGUAUGCGAAUGCAGAGGAAACAAAACCUUGCUAAAACCAAAGUCCCCUUUUGAUUGAAUGUUAUUUUAAAUGCAGUUUUAACAUGCUGAGCGUUCUUUACUUUCCCCCAUCAUCGCAAAACAGUCCUGCGAGCCUGGGAUGUUAUAAUCAAACCCAAUUUGAGAGGCCAUGCAACAGAAUAUCAGCCGCUGGGUUUUCCACCACAGGAACUUGCAUCAGACAAUAGGGAUAAACUGAGUAGGAGGUUAGAUUCAGCAUAUUUGAUCUUUUAAAAACUGAAGGCUUGCUUCUCCUCUUCAGCUUAAAAACCCAGGCUUUUUUAGAAGGCAUGUUUUAAUUAAUUUGCAGGAAAGCUGAGAGCAUGCAAAGUACUCUGAAUGCAGCUAAUACUGCUCUUGCACAAGUUUCUGCCGAUUGCCCAAAACAUCCCUUGUGCAACCUUACUGAAGAUCGCCAGGACAAAGGUGUAGGCAGGAAAUAAAAUUCCAAACCAGCUGAUCAGCCUGUGAAAGUCACGCUUCCUAAACGCCUAUGUUACAGACGGAGAAACUGAGGUUGGAUAAUUGCAGCUUGCCCAAGGCAACGGCGCCACGGCAGAAGCAAUGCUUCAGUCCAGGUCAGAUUUCAGCUCUCUUGUUAUUGAACCACAUGCGUUUUCCCACAUCAGGUCCAGUCAGCCACCAGCCUUGGAGUAACUUUAAAGGAAGUAAGAUGUACUGAUAGUGCAGUCCUAACUAUGCUUACUCAGAAAUAAGUCUCAGGUAGUUCAGUGGGACUUAGUGGCUUGUCAGCAUGUUCAGAACUGCAGCCUAAAACAUUGUCAAACCCGCCAAUGGCCUUUGACAGUUAUUCUGUGUGGCUGUGGCAACCCUUGCUGGCCCAGGACAUAUUCUGCACAGAGACAGAGUGGUCCUUCUGGGGCUCAGUCGUUGGAUUUAGAUCUGGGAGAAGACUUCCCUCUGCUCUGUAGUGGGAUUGCUGUGCAGCCUUGGUUAUCUUUCUGUAAAAUGGGAAUAACAGUGACUAGCCUCCUAUGGGCCAUGAGAUGCAAUAAAAACGUUACUGC